RNAcentral lists this ribosomal RNA (609 nucleotides) under Triticum aestivum (bread wheat). RNAcentral's name for it is "partial small subunit ribosomal RNA". The record is from RNAcentral. Lineage: Eukaryota; Viridiplantae; Streptophyta; Magnoliopsida; Poales; Poaceae.
AUGUGGCAGACGCAGCUGAAUGUGUACAAGCAGCACCUCGCCACAAUGAGGGAACUCGGAGCAGUGGUGGUGGAGAAGCUGGACGUCGCUGCCAAUUUGAGAGCUCUAUUGGAUGAGAUUGGUUCCAACGAGGCGAUUGCGAUGCAGGCAGAGUUCAAGCUGAGCAUAAACGCCUACUUGGCAGACUUGGUCCACUCCCCGGUCCAUUCGCUUGCAGACAUCAUAGCAUUCAACAAGGCGCAUCCUGUGGAGGAGAGGCUGAAAGAUUUCGGGCAGCCCGACCUAAUCGCUGCCAAAAGCACAAAUGGCAUUGGCCCCGUGGAGAGAGCCGCGAUCCGGCGUCUGAAGGAGCUGGACGCGAAUGGGCUGGAGAAGAUGAUGAAGGAGCACCAGCUGGACGCGAUCGUGGCGCCUAACAACGCUAUAUCUAGCCUUCUUGCCAUCGGUGGCCACCCUGGCAUCGUUGUGCCGGCUGGUUACGACGAGAAGGGGGUCCCCUUCGGGAUAUGUUUCGGUGGGCUGCAGGGGUACGAGCCGAGGCUGAUCGAGAUGGCCUAUGCUUUCGAGCAGGCUACCAAAGUUAGGAGGCAACCCAUGUUCAAGCCCUAG